AUUACCGCGGCUGCUGGCACGGAUUUAGCCGGUGCUUAUUCCUCGGGUACCGUCAGUCUUGCCAGGUAUUAGCCGACAAUGUUUCGUUCCCGAUAAAAGUGCUUUACAACCCUAAGGCCUUCUUCACACACGCGGCAUGGCUGGAUCAGGGUUGCCCCCAUUGUCCAAUAUUCCCCACUGCUGCCUCCCGUAGGAGUCUGGACCGUGUCUCAGUUCCAGUGUGGCUGAUCAUCCUCUCAAACCAGCUACGGAUCGUAGCCUUGGUAGGCCUUUACCCUACCAACUAGCUAAUCCGACAUGAGCUCAUCUGAUAGCGAGAGGUCCGAAGAUCCCCCGCUU
This 339-nucleotide ribosomal RNA is filed under the name uncultured Gammaproteobacteria bacterium. Its description in RNAcentral is "partial 16S ribosomal RNA". The record is from RNAcentral. Lineage: Bacteria; Pseudomonadati; Pseudomonadota; Gammaproteobacteria.